Molecule: ribosomal RNA, 492 nt
Filed under: uncultured bacterium
Lineage: Bacteria
Description: partial 16S ribosomal RNA
Rfam family: Bacterial small subunit ribosomal RNA
Source: RNAcentral
AGUGAACGCUGGCGGUAGGCCUAACACAUGCAAGUCGAACGGCAGCACAGUAAGAGCUUGCUCUUACGGGUGGCGAGUGGCGGACGGGUGAGGAAUACAUCGGAAUCUACUUUUUCGUGGGGGAUAACGUAGGGAAACUUACGCUAAUACCGCAUACGACCUACGGGUGAAAGCAGGGGAUCUUCGGACCUUGCGCGAUUGAAUGAGCCGAUGUCGGAUUAGCUAGUUGGCGGGGUAAAGGCCCACCAAGGCGACGAUCCGUAGCUGGUCUGAGAGGAUGAUCAGCCCCACUGGAACUGAGCCACGGUCCAGACUCCUACGGGAGGCCGCAGUGGGGACUAUUGGACAAUGGGCGCAAGCCUGCUCCAGCCAUACCGCGUGGGUGAAGAAGGCCUUCGGGUUGUAAAGCCCUUUUGUUGGGAAAGAAAAGCAGCAGGUUAAUCCCCCGCUGUUCUGACGGUACCCAAAGAAUAAGCACCGGCUAACUUCGUG